GAUGAACGCUGGCGGCGUGCCUAAUACAUGCAAGUCGAGCGAACGGACCAGGAGCUUGCUUCUCUGAUGUUGGCAGCCGACGGGUGAUUAACACGUGGAUAACCUACCUCUACGACUGGGAUAACUUCGGGAAACCGUAUCUAAUGCCGAAUAAUUUUUUGAACCUCAUUGUUCACACGUUGAAGACGCUCUUGCUUUCGCUUAUAGAUGGCUCCGCGCUCCAUUCGUUAGUAGGUAAGGUAACGGCUUAACAAGGCAACGAUGCAUACCCGACCUGAGAGCGAGAUUGGCUAGCCUGGCAGUGAGACAGGGCCCCGACUCCUACGGGAGGCAGCAGUAGGGAAUCCUACGCGAUGGAGGAAAGCCUGAUAGAGCAACGCCGGCUGAGUGCUGAAGGUCUUCGGACGGUAAAACUCUGUAAGUCGUGAAGAAGAUAUGUGUAAGUAACUGUGAAGAUAUUGACGGUACCUAAUGAGAAAGCCCCGGCUAACUCCGUG
This 497-nucleotide ribosomal RNA is filed under the name uncultured bacterium. RNAcentral describes it as "partial 16S ribosomal RNA". It matches the Rfam family "Bacterial small subunit ribosomal RNA", at positions 28 to 507 of the family's 1533-position model. The record is from RNAcentral.